This 468-nucleotide ribosomal RNA is filed under the name uncultured bacterium. RNAcentral describes it as "partial 16S ribosomal RNA". It matches the Rfam family "Bacterial small subunit ribosomal RNA", at positions 28 to 507 of the family's 1533-position model. The record is from RNAcentral.
GACGAACGCUGGCGGCGUGCUUAACACAUGCAAGUCGAACGGAAAGGCCCUGCUUUUGUGGGGUGCUCGAGUGGCGAACGGGGGAGUAACACGUGAGUAACCUGCCCUUGACUUUGGGAUAACUUCAGGAAACUGGGGCUAAUACCGGAUAGGAGCUCCUGCUGCAUGGUGGGGGUUGGAAAGUUUCGGCGGUUGGGGAUGGACUCGCGGCUUAUCAGCUUGUUGGUGGGGUAGUGGCUUACCAAGGCUGUGACGGGUAGCCGGCCUGAGAGGGUGACCGGCCACAUUGGGACUGAGAUACGGCCCAGACUCCUACGGGAGGCAGCAGUGGGGAAUAUUGCACAAUGGGCUGAAGCCUGAUGCAGCAACGCCGCGUGCGGGAUGACGGCCUUCUGGUUGUAAACCGCUUUCGCCUGUGACGAAGCGUGAGUGACGGUAAUGGGUAAAGAAGCACCGGCUAACUACGUG